AUGGCCAUGGCCAUGGCCAUGGGUGCAAAGUCAACGAUGAAGAAGAGCUUAUUGCUAAUAUUGUUUGUGUGCCUGCUAACCAUCACUGUGACUGAUUGCGCAACGGAGAUCCCUGCCCCUGUUCCCCAGGAUCCUCCGGGAAACAAAAUCUGCGGUGCCGUCAGCAAAACAUGGCCCUGGUUGAAGUUUUGCGGCAGGCACGGCACCUGCAAUAAGCCAUGCCGGGAAGAAGGGUUCGAGGGGGGCUACUGCGGCAUGUUCCCCUUCGUAUCGACCUGUUGUUGCACCAAGCACUGUCUCAGAGCCGCCCCUGGGCAGUCCGUGCAACCCGUGCACAAGGGCGACAAACAAAUUCAAGCCAUUUUUAGAGAAUGUUGA
This 378-nucleotide ribosomal RNA is filed under the name Triticum aestivum (bread wheat). RNAcentral's name for it is "partial small subunit ribosomal RNA". The record is from RNAcentral. Lineage: Eukaryota; Viridiplantae; Streptophyta; Magnoliopsida; Poales; Poaceae.